UAGUUUGAAUUUUUAGAAAUCAGUUUUAGAGAGAUUUAUUUUUGUGUAUAUGUGGGGGGUAGGUAUGUGCGCCUGAGUGUGCAUGCCCAGUAAGGCCAGAAAAGGGAAUGCCAUCCCCUGAAGCAGAGAUUAACUGGUGGUUAUGAGACACCAGGCGGGCGCUGGGAACUGGAUCCAGCUCCUCCAAGAGAGCAGUAGACGUUCUUAACUACUAAGCCAUCUCUCUAGCCCCAAGGCUGUUUAAAUUUUUGUCUUUUUCAUAAUAAAGCAUUUUGAGGUGAGAGAGUCUGCUCGAUGGUUAAGACCACUUGCUGCUCUUACAGAGGACCAGGGUUUGACUCCCGCCCACAUAGCAGCGCACAACCAUUUGUAACCCCAGUCCCAGAGUAUCCAAAACCUUCCUCUGACCUCUGUGAGCACUAGGGACACACGUGGAUGCAGACACUAGUCACAUAGGUGCAGGAAAAACACUCCUACAUAUACAAUAAACUUUUUUCUGAUACAGGGUCUCACCACAGAACUGACGUGGAUCUCACUAUGUAGGUUAGGCUGGCCCUCCAACUCAUUGAGAUCUGCCUACCUCUGCCUUUGCCGGGAUCAAAGGCAUGUAGUGUGCCACCAUACUCAGCAAAUAAACCUAAAGAAAAAGCGAAGAUUGCAAAUCUAGUAUACCACUGCAGCAUUUUAACUGACCAAAUAGAUGUCGUCCACGAUCAUCAUUUUUGAAAUUUCAUCUUCUUGAGGAGAUGUGUGUGCCUUGUCACACGGGUGGAGAGCAGAUCACAGGACAGCUUUCAGUGUGAUACCUGAACCGUGGUCCUGAAAACUCUUGCCAAAGCAGUCUUGCAAACCAAAUCGCCAUUUUCAAGUGCAGGCUGAACAAAUGCUCUGGCAUCUGCUGGAGUAACCCUUUGAGCUUUCCAGUAUCUCGGUAUUUUACCUGGGCACAUUUAUUUAGAAACUUUUUUGCGUUAAGCAGAAAGGCCAAUCAUUUGCUUAAUUUACUAAGUACUUAUAAUGUGCAAAGCCUUAAGGAGUGGAUAAAUGCCUACUCAUGGCCAGUAAAGAGAAGAAAGCGGCUUAAAGCAGUUUUGGUCUUUAUAAGUGUAUUGAUUAAUGUAGUCAGUCAGUUUAUUAUGCAUGGCUAAGUAUUGUUCUUCUGACUUAGAAUGUAAUGUAUCCGCAAAUAAAAUGCAACCAUCUAAGCCCUCAGGGAAUUUAUACUUAAAAGGAGGAAGGCGGAUGAUGAAGACACAGCAUCAAGUUAUGAUAAGAAAUGAUAAAUGCUAUAGGAAAAGGAAAAUAGCAAUUUAUGAGGAUUUCUGGAUGAUGGGGAAGGGGUAGCCAGGAACUCACAGUUUAACUAGUGCGGCCAAGGUUGAGCUCAAGAGGGAACAAGUCUGAGCAGCUACUGGAAGGGGGAAAGUCCAAGCUGCGGGGGCGUGGGGGGAGGAUUAGGAUGACAGAAUCGUUUCCAGAGCAGAUGGCCCCAGUGUGUUGGAUGCCUGGGUACGGAAAACAGCAAGUAGCAAAAAGCAGAACCAAUUGUAUAAGAUGACAUCAGAAAGAUGGCAGUGGGUACCCAAGGCCCCGUGAGGCUGUCACAUGAGAAUCACUGGAGAGUUGGAGCCACACAGUGCCCAGCUCAGCUGGCAUUUAUGAAGACAGCUCUGGCUUUCAUGCAGAGGGCAGAUGGAAGAGAAGGUGGGGCGGCAAGAACACAUUUUAGGAGACAUUGAAAUAAUACGACCAGGAGGUGUCAAAUAAAUUUGCCUAUUCAUAUAUACAA
This is a long non-coding RNA of Arvicola amphibius (Eurasian water vole), 1789 nucleotides long. RefSeq lists it as uncharacterized. The transcript has 2 exons. The record is from RefSeq and is a predicted model, not a curated record. NCBI's taxonomy places the organism in Eukaryota, Metazoa, Chordata, Mammalia, Rodentia, Cricetidae.